CUUGCUGUCUCAGCUAGACUCUUGCUCAAUAAGAUAAUAGUUGCAAAUAACUUUAUUGCUCAUUCUGGGAACUUCCUGAACGAUACAUUACUCCUCCAGACUCUGAAUUCUUUGCCUUAAAAAUCCUCACCUCAUAGUCACCCAUCCUAAAUUAUUACAUCACCAUCCUUACCUAAUCCUAAGACUCUCCACUGAAAGGCCUUCCUGAAGCUAGAACUCGAAUAUCUCACAACAGCUUGGUUUCUCCUCCCCACCCAAAAUUCUGUCAAGGUUGCUCUCUUUUACUGCAGUAAGAAUAAACUCAGCUUUGUCUUAUCAACAAAUUGUCUUGGCGAUCUUUAUGGGGAGCCAGUAUUCCACGUGGAUUAGUGAACUGAACUCUGGAACUGGAAUCAGAAGGUAGGAGUUGAAGUCACAGCUCUGCCACAUGGACAAGUCACUAAUUUUCAGAUGCCUCUGCUGUAAAAUCACACAGGUCCCACAGGGCACCGAAGCUGGCAGCAUCCAUCAUCCAGAAGCUUCCCUUGGCACCCAUCUUGAGUGGUUUUAUAGCAGCGCGCCUCUUGUGACACACCUCCCUGUGAACAGCUUCCCAGGAACCCUAGAGGAACAGAUUUUCUCCAGCAAGUUAUCAGCGGAUUUCCAGCAAAUUCUGCUGCUGUGACACCACAAUGACUUCUCUGUCAUCCAGUUAGUCAUGACCCUGACUUCUCCAAAAGAUCUGGAUUUCAGCUUUCAGGGAGAGGGGCAGCCCGGGUGGCUCAGCGGUUUAGCACCUGCCUUUGGCCCAGGGUGUGAUCCUGGAG
This is a long non-coding RNA of Canis lupus familiaris (dog), 806 nucleotides long. RefSeq lists it as uncharacterized. The transcript is spliced from 3 exons. The record is from RefSeq and is a predicted model, not a curated record. NCBI's taxonomy places the organism in Eukaryota, Metazoa, Chordata, Mammalia, Carnivora, Canidae.